RNAcentral lists this ribosomal RNA (433 nucleotides) under uncultured bacterium. RNAcentral's name for it is "partial 16S ribosomal RNA". It matches the Rfam family "Bacterial small subunit ribosomal RNA", at positions 29 to 507 of the family's 1533-position model. The record is from RNAcentral.
AACGAACGCUGGCGGCAUGCCUAACACAUGCAAGUCGAACGAGACCUUCGGGUCUAUUGGCGCACGGGUGCGUAACGCGUGGGAACCUGCCCUUAGGUUCGGAAUAACUCCCCGAAAGGGGUGCUAAUACCGGAUAAUGUCUUCGGACCAAAGAUUUAUCGCCUUUGGAUGGGCCCGCGUUGGAUUAGCUAGUUGGUAGGGUAAAAGCCUACCAAGGCGACGAUCCAUAGCUGGUCUGAGAGGAUGAUCAGCCACACUGGGACUGAGACACGGCCCAGACUCCUACGGGAGGCAGCAGUGGGGAAUAUUGGACAAUGGGCGAAAGCAUGAUCCAGCAAUGCCGCGUGAGUGAUGAAGGCAUUAGGGUUGUAAAGCUCUUUUAACCGGGAUGAUAAUGACAGUACCGGGAGAAUAAGCUCCGGCUAACUCCGUG